Long non-coding RNA from Brassica oleracea var. oleracea, 564 nucleotides. RefSeq lists it as uncharacterized. The transcript is spliced from 2 exons. The record is from RefSeq and is a predicted model, not a curated record. NCBI's taxonomy places the organism in Eukaryota, Viridiplantae, Streptophyta, Magnoliopsida, Brassicales, Brassicaceae.
UUCACAAGCUUUGACAUCAGCCUCCCACCACAUAUAUAUAUGUAUGUCUGCUCCCCUGUAUUCUCCAUUUCAAUCUUCUCUAAUAUCUCCAAGUCACACUUCACCAAGAUGGUGGUAAGGAUGAGACUGGGUAAAAUUGUGGGAGACUUGAAGGUGAAGAUAAAGACAAGUCUAAGGAUGAGGAAGAGAUCAUCAUUAUCAUCAUCAUCUUCCUCUUCCUCAACUUCAUCAUCAUCAUCCUAUGAGAAGAUAGAGAAGAGUGACAGUAUGAGAUUCGAGUUACGAAGCAGAAAGGCACACAAAAUUAUCCAACAAACUCUUCAAAUUGCCGACUCUCCCACCUCAAGAACUUAUGCUUUAUGAUUUCAUCUUCUUACCAUCCGAAACAUAUUCAUACAUACAUACGAAUUUGCAUAUGUAUCUGUUUAUACAUAUCUAAAAUACUGUACGUGUAUGUAUGGGUGAAAGGUUAUAUAUGGAUGAUGUAAUGUGAUGGAUCUCAUCUUGGCUAAUGGAUGAUUAUUAGGUGAGUUCAACAUUAAUGAUCAUUAAUAAGUGUCCUCA